This 277-nucleotide ribosomal RNA is filed under the name Lycogala sp. RNAcentral describes it as "partial small subunit ribosomal RNA". It matches the Rfam family "Eukaryotic small subunit ribosomal RNA", at positions 172 to 447 of the family's 1831-position model. The record is from RNAcentral. Lineage: Eukaryota; Evosea; Eumycetozoa; Liceales; Enteridiidae.
CGAGAAACGGAGGCCUCUUGUGGGGUUCUUUCCCGACCGGGCAGCAAAGUAGCUCCGCUCACGCAGGUAGCUCGAUAGAAGUCUCCUUGAUCUCACAACCCCGUACAGAAGAAACUAACCACGAGCGCACGAUGGGCUUCAGACCUAUCAGCUUGAUGGUAGGGUAUUGGCCUACCAUGGCUAUGACGGGUACAGAGGAUUAGGGUUUGAUCCUGGAGAGGUAGCCUGAGAGAUCGCUCCCACUUCUAAGGAAGGCAGCAGGCGCGUAACGUUCCCA